GAUGAACGCUGGCGGCGUGCCUAAUACAUGCAAGUCGAGCGAACAGACGAGGAGCUUGCUCCUCUGACGUUAGCGGCGGACGGGUGAGUAACACGUGGAUAACCUACCUAUAAGACUGGGAUAACUUCGGGAAACCGGAGCUAAUACCGGAUAAUAUAUUGAACCGCAUGGUUCAAUAGUGAAAGACGGUUUUGCUGUCACUUAUAGAUGGAUCCGCGCCGCAUUAGCUAGUUGGUAAGGUAACGGCUUACCAAGGCAACGAUGCGUAGCCGACCUGAGAGGGUGGUCGGCCACCUGGGAGCGGAGCCACGGUCAAGACGCCUACGGGAGGCAGCAGUAGGGAAUGUGACGCAAUGGGCGAAAGCCUGACGGAGCGACGCCGCGUCAGAGAUAAAAGUGUUGGGAGCGUAAAACUCUGUUAUUAGGGAAAAACAAAUGUGUAAGUAAAUAUGCACAUCUUGACGGUACCUGAACAGAAAGCCACGGCUAACUACGUG
This 497-nucleotide ribosomal RNA is filed under the name uncultured bacterium. RNAcentral's name for it is "partial 16S ribosomal RNA". It matches the Rfam family "Bacterial small subunit ribosomal RNA", at positions 28 to 507 of the family's 1533-position model. The record is from RNAcentral.